Molecule: ribosomal RNA, 536 nt
Filed under: Saccharomyces cerevisiae (brewer's yeast)
Lineage: Eukaryota; Fungi; Ascomycota; Saccharomycetes; Saccharomycetales; Saccharomycetaceae
Description: partial large subunit ribosomal RNA
Rfam family: Eukaryotic large subunit ribosomal RNA
Source: RNAcentral
GGCGAGUGAGCGGCAAAAGCUCAAAUUUGAAAUCUGGUACCUUCGGUGCCCGAGUUGUAAUUUGGAGAGGGCAACUUUGGGGCCGUUCCUUGUCUAUGUUCCUUGGAACAGGACGUCAUAGAGGGUGAGAAUCCCGUGUGGCGAGGAGUGCGGUUCUUUGUAAAGUGCCUUCGAAGAGUCGAGUUGUUUGGGAAUGCAGCUCUAAGUGGGUGGUAAAUUCCAUCUAAAGCUAAAUAUUGGCGAGAGACCGAUAGCGAACAAGUACAGUGAUGGAAAGAUGAAAAGAACUUUGAAAAGAGAGUGAAAAAGUACGUGAAAUUGUUGAAAGGGAAGGGCAUUUGAUCAGACAUGGUGUUUUGUGCCCUCUGCUCCUUGUGGGUAGGGGAAUCUCGCAUUUCACUGGGCCAGCAUCAGUUUUGGUGGCAGGAUAAAUCCAUAGGAAUGUAGCUUGCCUCGGUAAGUAUUAUAGCCUGUGGGAAUACUGCCAGCUGGGACUGAGGACUGCGACGUAAGUCAAGGAUGCUGGCAUAAUGGUU